ACUUCAUGGUUAGGGAAUUGCAUGAGGUUGUCAUUAAACCUAUCCCACACUUCAUACAAAUGCUCCCCAUUGAGUUGACAAAAAUUUGUAAUUUUGUUUCACAAUU
Capsicum annuum is the source of this 106-nucleotide non-coding RNA. Lineage: Eukaryota; Viridiplantae; Streptophyta; Magnoliopsida; Solanales; Solanaceae. The record is from Rfam.